RNAcentral lists this ribosomal RNA (803 nucleotides) under uncultured archaeon. RNAcentral describes it as "bacterial SSU rRNA". It matches the Rfam family "Archaeal small subunit ribosomal RNA", at positions 1 to 785 of the family's 1478-position model. The record is from RNAcentral.
UUCCGGUUGAUCCCGCCGGACCCCACUGCUAUCGAGAUGGGACUAAGGUAUGCUAGUCGAACGACCAGAACUAUGUCUGGGAGUGGCACACUGCUCAGUAACACGUAGCUAACCUACCCUUAGGACGUGGAUACCCCCGAGAAAUUGGGGUUAAUCCGCGAUAGAUGUAAUGUCCUGGAAUGGUAUUACGUCUAAAGGUAUUUCAUACAUGUUUGAAAUAUGCCUAAGGAUGGGGCUGCGGCCGAUCAGGCUGUUGGUGAGGUAAUGGCUCACCAAACCUUUGACCGGUACGGGCCAUGAGAGUGGUAGCCCGGAGAUGGACACUGAGACAAGGCUCCAGGCCCUAAGGGGCGCAGCAACCGCGAAACCUCCACAAUGCACUCACGUGCGAUGGGGCUAUCUCGAGUGCCACCUGAUGAAGGUGGCUUUUCCUAGGUCUUCAAAGCCUUGGGAAUAAGAGGGGGGCAAGACUGGUGUCAGCCGCCGCGGUAACACCAGCCCCUCGAGUGGUGGGGAUGAUUAUUUGGCCUAAAGCGUCCGUAGCCGGCCGAGCAAGUCUUCCGUUAAAUCCAGCGUCUCAAGCGUUGGACUGCGGGAGAUACUACACGGCUAGAGAGUGGGAGAGGUCAGCGGUAUUCUGGGGGUAGGGGCGAAAUCCUUUGAUCCCCGGAGGACCACCAGUGGCGAAGGCUGCUGACUAGAACACGUCUGACGGUCAGGGACGAAAGCUGGGGUAGCGAACCGGAUUAGAUACCCGGGUAGUCCCAGCCGUAAACGAUGCAUGCUAGGUGUUGGGUUGGCCA